Molecule: ribosomal RNA, 301 nt
Filed under: uncultured bacterium
Lineage: Bacteria
Description: partial 16S ribosomal RNA
Rfam family: Bacterial small subunit ribosomal RNA
Source: RNAcentral
CAGCAGCCGCGGUAAUACGGAGGGAGCUAGCGUUGUUCGGAAUUACUGGGCGUAAAGCGCACGUAGGCGGCUUUGUAAGUCAGAGGUGAAAGCCUGGAGCUCAACUCCAGAACUGCCUUUGAGACUGCAUCGCUUGAAUCCAGGAGAGGUGAGUGGAAUUCCGAGUGUAGAGGUGAAAUUCGUAGAUAUUCGGAAGAACACCAGUGGCGAAGGCGGCUCACUGGACUGGUAUUGACGCUGAGGCACGAAAGCGUGGGGAGCAAACAGGAUUAGAUACCCGCGUAGUCCCUGUCUCUUAUAC